This 115-nucleotide non-coding RNA is filed under the name Erythranthe guttata (spotted monkey flower). Lineage: Eukaryota; Viridiplantae; Streptophyta; Magnoliopsida; Lamiales; Phrymaceae. The record is from RNAcentral.
GUGUUUGUAGAAAGGAGAGACAGUUGGCAUCUCCGCCGACAGCGACAUGAUCAACUUUCGGGCUUUACCUGUUACCAGCCAUGCCAAACCAAAGAAAAUUGGUAGAGAGACUCUU